RNAcentral lists this ribosomal RNA (164 nucleotides) under uncultured Chlamydiales bacterium. RNAcentral's name for it is "partial 16S ribosomal RNA". It matches the Rfam family "Bacterial small subunit ribosomal RNA", at positions 347 to 504 of the family's 1533-position model. Lineage: Bacteria; Pseudomonadati; Chlamydiota; Chlamydiia; Chlamydiales. The record is from RNAcentral.
AGCUGCAGUCGAGAUCAUUCGCAAUGGGCGAAAGCCUGACGAUGCGACGCCGUGUGAGCGAUGAAGGCCUUCGGGUCGUAAAGCUCUUUCGCUUGGGAACAAGAGAGGUCAGCUAAUAACUGGCUAAUUUGAGGGUACCAGGUAAAGAAGCACCGGCUAACUCC